Long non-coding RNA from Bombus huntii, 2451 nucleotides. RefSeq lists it as uncharacterized. The record is from RefSeq and is a predicted model, not a curated record. The transcript has 3 exons. NCBI's taxonomy places the organism in Eukaryota, Metazoa, Arthropoda, Insecta, Hymenoptera, Apidae.
CGAGGCGUGGGAAGGAGACGGCAGGGAACCACGUGGAAGAGUGAAACAGAGUGAACGGGACAGACAGAAAUAGAUAGACGCCAGGGAACACAGAGGGGCAGUGCCUAUCACUCGGAGAGAUCCAAUACAAUGCGAACUAUUGUACCCACGUUCGCCAUCCACUCCAAUUCCUAGGCUGGAGAUAUGCAGCUAGCUCGAUCCUGCACUUGCUGCGCACGCUGCAUACAUCUAUUGGAACGUUACACAUACCUACCAGUGUGUCUAUAGUACGACUUCCGCAAGGAUACGAAUGAGUUCAAAGUGGAACGAAUGAAGAGAUUAUUUGACAUUGUAGCCUGGCAAAUGACAUGUUUUAUAAUUCGAAUUCAUCGACUGCACAGAAAUAGCUUCCUUAAAGCUAACACUACCAAUCUGUAGUGUACUGGAUUUCCAAAGAAUCUAUAAACCCUGUAAAAUUAAAGUCAAGAAGGUGUGUGCAGGAAAUGUUUAAAAGUUUAUUUCUGUAUAUUAACAUUUGGGAAUAUUACUUGAGGAUACAUUUUAUUUCCGUUAUUUAAUUAAUACGAAAUAAAAAGGAACGUAAGUAGUGAAAGUAAAUGAAAUACAUCCCGGGGUGAUCACGCUAUCAGUUUCCAUCUUCUCCCAAACGACAAGUAUCAGGAAAAGGUGAAGAAGGAAAAGGAUGAAUAAUUCGAAGUAAACUACAUAUUCACGAUAAUAUUUUUCCCGCGAGUGCAAAUAUACAGGGUGGUUGGUAACUGGUGGUACAAGCGGAAAGGGGGUGAUUCUACGCGAAAAAAGAAGUCGAAAAUAUAAAAUAAAAAUUUUUCGUUCGAGGCUUUGUUUUCGAGAAAAUCGACUUUGAAUCUUCGCUCGGUACGCGUGCACUUUAUCGCGUCUCGUUAUAACGGAUCUCACUGUAGAUCGUUGUACCGAUGGAAAAAUUAAAAAAAAAAAAAAUUACAAAAAAAAUUUUUAUUCUAUAUUUUCGACUUCUUUUUUCACGUAGAAUCACCCCCUUUCCGCUUGUACCACCAGUUACCAACCACCCUGUAUAACAAUUAAGAAAGUAGUUUUCUGCAUAUGUUAAAAUGCUAUGACGUUAUCGAUAUUUGGUUUUUGAUCGAAUUUGCACGUGAUUAUAUCUAUGAACGUACCAUCCGUUGAAAAUUAAAGGAGAUUUUGUAUGAUACAUGUGUUUUGAAGGCGAAAGUGACCAUAUAAAUGAUCACCUGAUUGAAAAGGAACGAUGAAUAUCGUCUAUCUAUCUACAAUAGUAUCUAUUUGCAAGUAAUCGUUAAUAUUUCACAUUGGUGAAUAUGUUAAAAAUAGCAGUUGAGAUUGCGAUGGAGUACUAUAUAUUUUGCUAACACAAGAUGAAAGAAUAAAGAAAUCGGUAACAAAAAAUCUAGAAGCAUGUAUGAAAUUUGCCGUCGUACGAUCGUUUGAAUACAUUUUACGAGGGUAAAGAAACGUAAAACGUUUCUAAAAUAAAUUUAAGUUUAAGUUAGUUUAAGUGAGCAUAGGUUGCUACAAGUUAUCGUUUGGCGUCGUUUGUAAGAAAGGUAAUCGGAAACCUUGGAACCUCAUAAGCCACGCGAAUAAUCAGUAAAAUUCUAGUACUAAAAUAAAUUUUAUAUCAUUUCCAAACAAAAUCAAAGUUUAAUCAAUUCUCUAUCUUCAUUCGCUCUUACAUUAUCUGUUACAUAUUAAAUUUAAUAGAAUAACCAAUUUCGUAAACAUUGUGUUGAAAAGGAUUACCAAAUUCUGUCAGAUGUCAUUGCGGUUCAGACUAGUUGUUGUUUAUUCGAUUUAUUUAAAAUACAGGUUUGUGAGACUUGUCUGUAUAGAUAUUUACUUUAGACAGAUAUUACGUUGUCGCUGAAUACUAAUGCAUUUUCAUUCAUGACGUGAUUUCCUUCCGUGUCAGCACGUGACUAAACUGUACACUGUGCACGGUAUCCUAAAAUUUCUUGGAUUAAGUGAUGGUAUAUUCAUAGAAAUGAUAGUGAAUUUUCUGGUUAAUAACAUUCAUAACAUUUAUAUACAGCAAUAAUAUAGGUACAAUAUUAAACAAUCUGAUAUUAAACUCUUCUAUUGAAUUUCGCUAUAAUUUUUUAAAAUUAAAGUUUUAUGACCUGAAGUUUAUAUUCAUAAUUAUGUUACAUACAGUUGCAUUUUUGAUAUUAUUUGUGAUUAUUGAUAUCAGCUAUCAUUAAAAUAGAAAGGAUAAGUGCCAAAACGUUUUCUUACAAGAUUGCACUUCAGAAAGUCACGCAUACACACAUAAAUAUCGGAACACUUUAGCCGAUUUGUAACAGCGUAAUUAGUAAAAUGUAUACAUUAGUGUACAACUAAUCGUUAAAGGCAAUACUUAACAUUUUUUAAUAGAAUGAACAAAUGAUAAAAUUUAAUUGUAAUUAAUUUAAUUACAUUUAUUGUAGAACAAUA